Molecule: ribosomal RNA, 155 nt
Filed under: Cinnamomum osmophloeum
Lineage: Eukaryota; Viridiplantae; Streptophyta; Magnoliopsida; Laurales; Lauraceae
Description: 5.8S ribosomal RNA
Rfam family: 5.8S ribosomal RNA
About the family: 5.8S ribosomal RNA (5.8S rRNA) is a component of the large subunit of the eukaryotic ribosome. It is transcribed by RNA polymerase I as part of the 45S precursor that also contains 18S and 28S rRNA.
Source: RNAcentral
GGCUCUCGGCAUUUGAUAUCUCGGCUCUAGCAUCGAUGAAGAACGUAGCGAAAUGCGAUACUAGGUGCGAAUUGCAGAAUCCCGUGAACCAUUGAGUUUCUGAACGCACGUUGGGCCCAAAGCCAGUAGGUUGAGGGCAUGUGUGCCUGGGCCUC